Unclassified non-coding RNA from Megachile rotundata (alfalfa leafcutting bee), 2734 nucleotides. Lineage: Eukaryota; Metazoa; Arthropoda; Insecta; Hymenoptera; Megachilidae. The record is from RefSeq and is a predicted model, not a curated record.
GCUGUGUCUCAAGAUGAAACUCAGCACCCUAUACCUAGUCUACACCCUCCUGGGUCUAAUAGUCCUAGCCAACAGCCAGGGCACCCUGCUAGAGAUGUCCCAGCAGAUGUGGACCAAGCUGCUAACCGGUGGUUUCUCCAAAACGGGUAAACUGGAUCCCUUAAAGGUCCCUGUGAUCAAGGUCGACCAGUCCGAAGGCGACACCAGUUAUCGGAUCAUCCUCAGGAACGUGGAGAUCGGAGGUCUGAAUAAAUCCACCCUAGAAAGCAUCCACAUAGCGCGAGGUCGGUUGAAGUCUAACCUGAGCGAGGUGGAGGCUGGUUAUGUAAGCUACAGUGAUCUCCGGGACCUGGACUCCAUUAGGUACCGAUUCCACACGUUGAUCAAGGAGCCCAAGGUGCAGAACGAGAGCUUUGAGGCUAUAGUCUCUGCCAGCGACCAGCACAGCAGGUUCAUGUCGGCGCCUCGAGAGCAGGAGAAGAGUUUUGAGCGUUUGCGACAGUAUGAUCCGUUUUUGAUGAAGAUACAAGCGGACAAGAUGAGGGAAGCGCCUAAAAGUGAGCAAAAGAGUCAGGAUUCUGGGGUGUUCAGCAUGGACAGCGCUAAGGUGGUGAUGAAGGACCAGAUUGUGGAGAAUAUUAGAUACCCUAGCGAUGUUCAGAUGAUCUAUGCGAUGAGCGCUUUGAACGCUGGACUGAAUCCGACCUAUGAACAGAAGUACCAGGGUAGAGCUGGGUCCGAGAGACGAGAGGACCCUAGGGAGAACCAGAGAAGAGGUUAUGUGAAUGGUAGAACCGAAGCGAGGUUCGAUGAUGUACAGACCUCGGCUUCGGAGAAUGUGGAGAGCAGGGUUAGAGGCAGUCAGAGGUUCCCUGCUUAUGUUAGGGAACAGGCUCCUCAGGACACGAGGCUGGAGAAGCAGCCGGGGUACAUUGAUAUCGUUUAUGCUGACGGGGAACAUCAUGGAGGCGUGAAGCGGUUUGGGAAUGGGAGGAUCGAGUCUAAGGAGGGUACACAGGUGUUUGGAAUGAAGGAUGUGGCCAAGGAAAUUCUAGAAGGUAAACGAACCAUCACCCACGACUGCACCUCCGGUGAGCCGUUGACGAAGAGAAACGACGCAAUCAAGGCUGCCAUAAAUUCCAACAGCAUGAGAAAUUUGACUAGGUACGCAAAAGACUAUCAGGAAAAACAAGGAUACUUCGAGGAAGGAAUGCAGCUGCUUUAUCAUUACGGCGGAAAUCCUGUGAAUGAAAAAGUUGGCCUUGGAAAGAGAUACAAACGUGCGCACAGUGAAAACGAAACUGAUGAUGAUGUGAUGCACGUGAUCUUGAAAAUACGUGUUCCUCAACUUCACAUCAAGGCGGAUUAUCAGUUGACUGGGAAAGUUGGGAAGGAAUUGGUGAGAGGAAACGGAAAACUGAAUGGCAACUUCAGCGAAGUAACAGGCGACUUCACGAUCGAACUAACAAAAGACAAGAGAGAGAACAUUUUAAUAGUACGCGCCGCCCGAAGUAAAUUAAGCGGCAAGAAGGAAAAUAUCUCCCUACAAGGUAUGGACGAGGAAGGACCAGUACAAUCGAUUCUAAAUCACGGUUUAAUGGCUGCCGAAGCGGUGGCCGCCAUGCUUGCCGAUGACCUGGCGACAAAAGCGUUGAACGACAGAACAGCCGACGCGAUGAUUUACAAAAUGUACAAAGACCUUCCUGUUAAUUAACAACCAGGAAAACUUUUCUGUGGAUUUUUUUGCCGGACGCUUAUUCUUUAUGUAAAAUAUUUACUAGUGAAUGUUUAAGGUUAGAAUUCUGGGGACCUAAGGCGGGAAAUUUGAAUAUAAUAUAAGCUCUAUUAAUUUAUUAAUGACUUGCAUGAUUCUAUUCAUAUUUAUUUAUUCUGUUAUAUUUAUCAACUAAGGAGAAAGAGUCAUUAACUUAUUAACUUGUUACUAGAAUUAUACUGAAUUUAUAUUCUGUAGAAUUUUAUCAUAUAUUGCUUGCGGCACACACAUGUUUUACAUUACAUACGUAUUAUAAGUAGCCUCUAUUUUUAACUAGUUUAAUUUUUAUAAUUAUUAAGAAAUUAUUUAUGUACUCAAUCGAAAACUUGCUCAUAUAUGAACAGAAAGCAGAGUGCAAAAUUUAUUGUAAAAAGGUGCUUUAUAGAUUUAGAAUAAUAUUUUUAUUCUCCUGUUUGUGCAUAAAUGAAAUGCAUUAUAUGAAGAUUCUUUAUAAUAAUUUUGUGAUACGGUUCUAAACGAAUAUGUGAAAUCUACAUAUAUGGCCGAAAAUGAUAUUCAUCAGAAAUUCACAAAUUUUUUAAUUGAUGCAUUAUAGAAAAGAGUUGUGAAGUAAUUUCAUAUUACUAUACACUCUAAACACAGAUAUACGUAAACUCUACAUAUAUGGCCGAAAAUGAUAUUUAUCAGAAAUUCACAAAUUCUUGUGAAUUUUUGCAUUAUAGAAAAGUGAUGUGAAGUAAUUUCAUGUUACUAUACGUUCUAAACACAGAUAUACGUAAAAUCUACAUAUAUGGCCGAAAAUGAUAUUUAUCAAAAAUUCACAAAUUUUUUAGUUGAUGCAUUAUAGAAAAGUGAUGUGAAGUAAUUUCAUGUUACUAUACGUUCUAAACACACACAUACGUAAAAUCUACAUAUAUGGCCGAAAAUGAUAUUUAUCAAGAAAUCCCAAAUUUUUGAAUUGAUGCAUUAUAGAAAAGUGAUAUGAAGUAAUUUCAUGUU